UCUAUUUAUAUGAUUAUGUGGUGUGUUGUUAUUUUAUUAAGUGGUGUUAUUUUAUUAUUUAAUAGAAUGACAUUUGAAAUAAAAUAAGAUUAAGUUGUGGGGGCUGUUUUGCGAAUUUAGAGAGUUUAAUAGAAUAAGUGAGAAUUAGGAUUUAAUUGGAGCUUUGGGGUUAAAUGAGAAUUAAGUGAAUUAAGUGGGAG
Molecule: long non-coding RNA, 200 nt
Filed under: Medicago truncatula (barrel medic)
Lineage: Eukaryota; Viridiplantae; Streptophyta; Magnoliopsida; Fabales; Fabaceae
Description: long non-coding RNA (MTRU_LNC006934)
Source: RNAcentral